Long non-coding RNA from Pangasianodon hypophthalmus (striped catfish), 596 nucleotides. RefSeq lists it as uncharacterized. NCBI's taxonomy places the organism in Eukaryota, Metazoa, Chordata, Actinopteri, Siluriformes, Pangasiidae. The record is from RefSeq and is a predicted model, not a curated record. The transcript is spliced from 3 exons.
GUUCUUCACAUGGCUCUAAUGGACUGCUUGUGAUUCAUUGCCACACUGAGUGCUGAGAUGUUUGGAUUGUGAUUUCACUUUUUGGAUCAUCAAUCUAUCCAAUCUUUCCAUCGAUCUACCUCAGGUCAGUUCGAGUCUCUACAUCGCCUCCGUGACUUCUCAUCUUCUCUCCUGUCAGAGAGCGCUGACUCACAGGAAGUGGAGCUCAGCGGGGUGUGGACUCCGUGUGUGUUUGUGCUUUUGUCCUCUAUUAGAAAUCUUUCAGACGGUGAGUUCCAGCAUCAGAGCGCUGAACCAUUUCACUGUUUCAUUUAAAGCAGUGACACAUGAACCACCGUUUCAUCACACACUGACAGACGGAAUGAGAAAAGCAAUAAACUCCACUUUCCUCAUGCACUUUGUGUAUUUACUGAUUUAUUACGAGAGAGAUUUACAGCACAGCAGCGACGCGUCUGAACUGUCAGCGGAGCUCAUUUUCAGCAAAUCUUACAUCUCAUGUCGCUUUACAGCUCCAGAACUCAGCACCGCUUUUCUUUAAGCUGUCAAAAUGCCUUUCAAAAAUAUUAUGUUUUUAAUUUAGCAUUUAAUUGAUAAUA